AUCCUACCAUAAAACAAAUUUAAGCGAUUAUGUAAAGACCAACGGAUUUAACGACACAUUACAUUGAUCUUAUUUCAGAAAGCAUAUACCGAUCACUUUUCAAUGAUUCCCGAAUGACACCACCAUAGCAGUGAAAUAACAGGGCAUGAAUAUAACAAUAAAAUUCAUAACAUCAUAUAGACUAAGGAAAAAAAAGUGAAAAUGCA
This 206-nucleotide long non-coding RNA is filed under the name Lathyrus oleraceus (garden pea). RNAcentral's name for it is "Pisum sativum (pea) long non-coding RNA (PSAT_LNC013363)". The record is from RNAcentral. Lineage: Eukaryota; Viridiplantae; Streptophyta; Magnoliopsida; Fabales; Fabaceae.